UAUCCCACUAUUUAAGAUAAACUCAUACCCUGUUAUUGACUUGCUAUCAUUCGAAUCAGAUUAAAAAUUAAAAUCUGUAUAUCCCUCUAGUUUCAACUCUGGUCCUCCAUAUAUGAAAAAAAUAUCUUUAGUCCUUCUUUUAGGUACUUCAGAAUAUUUUUCACAGCUUUCUAGUGAUUCUCUCCUAGAUCAGCCUGAAAUCUGCUAGC
RNAcentral lists this long non-coding RNA (209 nucleotides) under Elaeis guineensis (African oil palm). Its description in RNAcentral is "long non-coding RNA (EGUI_LNC066335)". The record is from RNAcentral. Lineage: Eukaryota; Viridiplantae; Streptophyta; Magnoliopsida; Arecales; Arecaceae.